CCAAGAAACAGGUUUCGAAGAAGGCUGACGAUAAAGAAAAAUAUUUCCAUUGCAAUGUCGAAGGCUACUAGAGAAGGAACUAUCCGGCCUACUUGAUGAUUGUCAAGAGCAGGAAGAAAGAUGGACCUUCUGAAGGUAUGUCUGAGUUGCUUAUUAUUAAAACUAAUCUAACGAUUUUUUCUUCUUCUAGUUGGAUUCUUGAUUCUGGUUCAAGUGCUCAUUUGUGCACUUCAAUGCAGGGUCUUUAAGAAGUUAGGGGGCUG
RNAcentral lists this long non-coding RNA (263 nucleotides) under Elaeis guineensis (African oil palm). Its description in RNAcentral is "long non-coding RNA (EGUI_LNC078303)". Lineage: Eukaryota; Viridiplantae; Streptophyta; Magnoliopsida; Arecales; Arecaceae. The record is from RNAcentral.